CCCUUAGAUGUCCUGGGCCGCACGCGUGCUACACUGAUGCAUACAGCGAGUACUCCCAGCUCCGAGAGGCUGCUGGUAAUCAGCUAUAUGCAUCGUGAUGGGGAUAGAUCUUUGGAAUUAUAGAUCUUGAACGAGGAAUUCCUAGUAAUCGCAGGUCAUCACCCUGCGUUGACUAAGUCCCUGCCCUUUGUACACACCGCCCGUCGCUCCUACCGAUUUCGAGUGAUCCGGUGAAUCAUUCGGACCGCGGCCCCUAGGCAUGCGGAAAGUCUAGUAAACCAUAUCACUUAGAGGAAGGAGAAGUCGUAACA
Molecule: ribosomal RNA, 311 nt
Filed under: uncultured eukaryote
Lineage: Eukaryota
Description: partial 18S ribosomal RNA
Rfam family: Eukaryotic small subunit ribosomal RNA
Source: RNAcentral